CCGGCGGGCGCGCGCGCGGUGACAGAAGAGAGUGAGCACACGGCCGGUGUGACGGCACCGGCGCGGAUGUGCCGUCGCGGCCGCGUGCUCACUGCUCUCUCUGUCAUCCGCUGGCACACCCUCACG
This is a non-coding RNA of Zea mays, 126 nucleotides long. The record is from RefSeq and is marked provisional. Lineage: Eukaryota; Viridiplantae; Streptophyta; Magnoliopsida; Poales; Poaceae.